This 690-nucleotide ribosomal RNA is filed under the name Enterobacter asburiae. Its description in RNAcentral is "bacterial SSU rRNA". It matches the Rfam family "Bacterial small subunit ribosomal RNA", at positions 84 to 770 of the family's 1533-position model. The record is from RNAcentral. Lineage: Bacteria; Pseudomonadati; Pseudomonadota; Gammaproteobacteria; Enterobacterales; Enterobacteriaceae.
CUGGGUGACGAGCGGCGGACGGGUGAGUAAUGUCUGGGAAACUGCCUGAUGGAGGGGGAUAACUACUGGAAACGGUAGCUAAUACCGCAUAACGUCGCAAGACCAAAGAGGGGGACCUUCGGGCCUCUUGCCAUCAGAUGUGCCCAGAUGGGAUUAGCUAGUAGGUGGGGUAACGGCUCACCUAGGCGACGAUCCCUAGCUGGUCUGAGAGGAUGACCAGCCACACUGGAACUGAGACACGGUCCAGACUCCUACGGGAGGCAGCAGUGGGGAAUAUUGCACAAUGGGCGCAAGCCUGAUGCAGCCAUGCCGCGUGUAUGAAGAAGGCCUUCGGGUUGUAAAGUACUUUCAGCGGGGAGGAAGGCGAUAAGGUUAAUAACCUUGUCGAUUGACGUUACCCGCAGAAGAAGCACCGGCUAACUCCGUGCCAGCAGCCGCGGUAAUACGGAGGGUGCAAGCGUUAAUCGGAAUUACUGGGCGUAAAGCGCACGCAGGCGGUCUGUCAAGUCGGAUGUGAAAUCCCCGGGCUCAACCUGGGAACUGCAUUCGAAACUGGCAGGCUAGAGUCUUGUAGAGGGGGGUAGAAUUCCAGGUGUAGCGGUGAAAUGCGUAGAGAUCUGGAGGAAUACCGGUGGCGAAGGCGGCCCCCUGGACAAAGACUGACGCUCAGGUGCGAAAGCGUGGGGAGCA